This is a long non-coding RNA of Paramormyrops kingsleyae, 686 nucleotides long. RefSeq lists it as uncharacterized. NCBI's taxonomy places the organism in Eukaryota, Metazoa, Chordata, Actinopteri, Osteoglossiformes, Mormyridae. The record is from RefSeq and is a predicted model, not a curated record.
CUUUCCGUCACUGCACGUGCGCACUUCCUCUCCCCCUUGGAAAGACAAACGGUUCGGAUGCCUGCAAGUUUCGGCGAGGAUACGCUUUUCACGCGUUGGCAAAGCGUAAGCUCCAGGAAUGCCUGCUUGGCAUAAAAUGCAGCAUAUGCAUUAGCUGUGGCUCUCCCCGGGUGGACAUACAGAUCAUCUCUAUUACUACCGGGCCAGAUACGGAGCCCAGAAUGACAUCCAGCAUAGAGGAUAAAGUCACAUCUUGCAGCAGACCGACGUACCUGAUUCUUUCCCUUAAGCAUCAGGAUAUUGGUGACCUUCCCAAAAGCCACGCCCGACGUGACGCGAAUCUAUUCCGGCAAGCUGAGCCGUCCGGCUUCUGGAAGCCGGCAGAAACGAUGACGUGGAAGAUGCACAGGACACCCUCACGAUCGCUUCGAGCAGAUGGCAUGGCCGAUACAAGCCUCAUAACCCCACUGUCAGAAGCUGCACUUUCUGGAGGGGAAUCACCUUGGCAAAAAAAUCCAUCUCUAUAAGCAGCAAAAACAAGGCGGAAACUCCAUGACCCAGCAAAACGGGGUCUACGAAUCGGAAUGAGGUGGCCAGUCUUGGGGGCUUAAAGGAGCCAUCGCUGUCUCCCUUGGGCUCGAGCAAGGAGAUCUGACCCAUUCGGGAAUCGGGCCGGUCCACAGGAA